RNAcentral lists this long non-coding RNA (220 nucleotides) under Vulpes vulpes (red fox). RNAcentral's name for it is "lncRNA (ENSVVUG00000017859.1)". Lineage: Eukaryota; Metazoa; Chordata; Mammalia; Carnivora; Canidae. The record is from RNAcentral.
CAGAGACUAGGAGUGUAGUCAAGCAUAAUGACAAUGAUUUAUUAGCUUAAAAAACAAAACAACGCUGUAAUGCUUCUGGGAAAAGCAACAAAACCAGGGAAUAUAGUCGUCUCCUGUACCGUGCUAUUAAGUCUAAGUAAGUUCAACCCCCAAAAUAUUUCUCCUUUUAUGUCAAUGUUAAAACAUUGUUUUAAAAACACCAUCAAUCUGAAUGACAACU